This 56-nucleotide transfer RNA is filed under the name Bacillus subtilis. RNAcentral's name for it is "partial tRNA-Arg". It matches the Rfam family "tRNA", at positions 20 to 71 of the family's 71-position model. Rfam says of the family: Transfer RNA (tRNA) molecules are approximately 80 nucleotides in length. Their secondary structure includes four short double-helical elements and three loops (D, anti-codon, and T loops). Lineage: Bacteria; Bacillati; Bacillota; Bacilli; Caryophanales; Bacillaceae. The record is from RNAcentral.
AGAGCGUUUGACUACGGAUCAAAAGGUUAGGGGUUCGACUCCUCUCGGGCGCGCCA